GUACAGGACGGUGUCAUCUCCAGACCCAAGGGCAGGCUCUGCAGCACCAGAAACACAUGGAGUUUCUACAGUUUUGCUUGCUGUGACCUUCUGGGCCACCAGGGAAACACAAUGGAGUCCUGCCAGCUUCGCGCGACGAACCAUCACUUGCCAGGACUCUCUCCAGGCUUCCUGAGACACUGAGUUGCUGCUUGAGGUCCUGACUGCUUCUGAUUCCUCACUGUGCUGCUGGCAGGGUGGGAUUGAUGUCCCGUUUGGGACACUGGGCAGAGCCAAGCCCAUUGCCAUCCUCUGUGCCUUUGGCAGACUGGGGGACCAAGCUGGAUCCCUCUCUCUAAAGGGGUUCCAAGUGAGCAAGGGACAGGCUUGGGGCUGUCCACAUUCACUCUGGUGGGAAGAGCCACCUCCUUCACCCUUUCCACUUGGGAACCGUGUCACUGCUGGGGAUGGCACCACAUGGACGCAGAGCAAGGGUCAGCAGCCUGGCAGCACGGCACUAGCUGAGCCUGAGCACCAUCACAGGGCACGGAGCUGCCCGGGGGGUGCCAGCAUCCCUGGCACGGGUGCACUCCGGGGAUGUAGUGCCGGGCGCAGGAGGAGCUCCGGCACGAUGGGCCGGCUGGAUGACCAUGCCAAGAGGAGGAUCGUGGAGCUGCGCAGGGCUGGGCUGAGCUUCCGCAAGAUCAAGAAGGUGCUGGAGCUGGAUGACAUCCGAGUGACGCCGCAGGCCGUGUACCUCUUCCUCAAGAGGAAGAGUGUGGAGCCGGGGUCAGCAGCAGCUGGCUGGGAUGGGGACCAGCCCUGGCAGGGGCACGAGGCUGAGCUCCCCAGGCUGCUGGGCACCCGGCACCCUGCACUGCCCACCGGGGAUCCUGUGGGCAGCCAGGACACCAAGGAAGGCAUCCAGAUUGUCAGCGUGGCCUCACUGUGCAAGGACGGUGGGCAGCUUGGGGACACUUUGGCUAUGGGGCUGGCCCCUGGAAAUGGUGAUGACAGCUCCACAGGCACAGCCCUGGCUCCAGGGACUGCUCUGAGGGGCCUUGCCCCCCUGCCCCAGACACUGCCCAGCCAAGGGCAGCUGGUCACACCCCCCACCCAGAACUCAGCUCUGAUGGUGAAAAAGAAGACAGUGGACAGGGCUAUCCUCCUGCAGAAAAAGGUUAAAGAUGCCAGCACUCAGACUGCCGUGCCAGACUCUGUGGGUCUGGGCAAUCACAGCCUUGCUUGCAGUGGAGCAGUGUCCCUGCCUGCUCCCAGCUGCCCUGCCAUCGCCGAGAAGCUGGAUGCUGUGCAGCUGGAGGUGCAGAAGCUGAGCCAGGCCCUGCAUGCGGUGCUGGAGCGGCAGUGCCACCUGGAGCGCCAGCAGGAGCAGCAGCAGCGGCUGCAGCAGGAGGUGCUGGUGACACUGCAGCAGCUCAGCUCCACCGUGAGCCACAGCACUGUGCCUGCCACCCAGCCCUGUGGGCCUUUCAGCAGCAUGGCCGAGCCCUCGCCCAGCAUGCCAAACUUCAGCCAGUUCAAGAUGGAGCUGAUCUGA
This 1537-nucleotide long non-coding RNA is filed under the name Zonotrichia albicollis (white-throated sparrow). RNAcentral describes it as "lncRNA (ENSZALG00000000295.1)". Lineage: Eukaryota; Metazoa; Chordata; Aves; Passeriformes; Passerellidae. The record is from RNAcentral.